RNAcentral lists this ribosomal RNA (436 nucleotides) under uncultured bacterium. RNAcentral's name for it is "SSU rRNA". It matches the Rfam family "Bacterial small subunit ribosomal RNA", at positions 1 to 461 of the family's 1533-position model. The record is from RNAcentral.
UUCGGCUUAGAGUUUGAUCCUGGCUCAGAAUGAACGCUGGCGGCAGGCCUAACACAUGCAAGUCGAACGGGUGCCUUCGGGUGCUAGUGGCGGACGGGUGAGUAACGCGUGGGAACAUACCCUUUGGUACGGAAUAGCCUCGGGAAACUGAGAGUAAUACCGUAUGUGCCCUUCGGGGGAAAGAUUUAUCGCCAAAGGAUUGGCCCGCGUUGGAUUAGGUAGUUGGUGGGGUAAUGGCCUACCAAGCCGACGAUCCAUAGCUGGUUUGAGAGGAUGAUCACGCCACACUGGGACUGAGACACGGCCCAGACUCCUACGGGAGGCAGCAGUGGGGAAUCUUAGACAAUGGGGGAAACCCUGAUCUAGCCAUGCCGCGUGAUCGAUGAAGGCCUUAGGGUUGUAAAGAUCUUUCAGAUGGGAAGAUAAUGAAGGUACC